GCCCCCGUGGCGCAACUGGAUAGCGCAGUCAGCUUCUACCUGACGGGUUGCGGGUUCGAGUCCUGCCGGGGGCG
This 74-nucleotide transfer RNA is filed under the name Nocardioides humilatus. It matches the Rfam family "tRNA". From Rfam's summary of the family: Transfer RNA (tRNA) molecules are approximately 80 nucleotides in length. Lineage: Bacteria; Bacillati; Actinomycetota; Actinomycetes; Propionibacteriales; Nocardioidaceae. The record is from Rfam by way of RNAcentral.